RNAcentral lists this ribosomal RNA (1342 nucleotides) under metagenome. RNAcentral's name for it is "bacterial LSU rRNA". It matches the Rfam family "Bacterial large subunit ribosomal RNA", at positions 1557 to 2925 of the family's 2925-position model. The record is from RNAcentral.
GAAGACGUAAUGUGGACCGAACCAAAGUAGGGAAGCGUGUGAGCCAUGUGCCAAGAAAAGCCGCUAUUGUGAUACACAUACCCGUACCGUAAACCGACACAGGUGGAUGAGGAGAGAAUCCUAAGGCCGACGGAAGAAGCAUUGUUAAGGAACUCGGCAAAAUGACCCCGUAACUUCGGGAGAAGGGGUGCCCUGUGAAAGCAGGGCCGCAGAGAAUAGGCUCAAGCAACUGUUUAGCAAACACAGGUCUAUGCGAAACCGAAAGGUGAGGUAUAUGGGCUGACGCCUGCCCGGUGCUGGAAGGUUAAGAGGAGAAGUCAGGCAACGAAGCUUCGAAUUUAAGCCCCAGUAAACGGCGGCCGUAACAAUAACGGUCCUAAGGUAGCGAAAUUCCUUGUCGGGUAAGUUCCGACCCGCACGAAAGGCGUAAUGAUUUGAGCACUGUCUCGACAAUGCAUCCGGUGAAAUUGAAGUACCAGUGAAGAUGCUGGUUACCUGCGCCAGGACGGAAAGACCCCAUGGAGCUUUACUCCAGCUUGAUACUGGGAUUCGAUACUGUAUGUACAGGAUAGGUGGGAGACGUUGAACAUAGAACGCCAGUUUUAUGUGAGUCGCUGUUGGGAUACCACCCUUGCAGUAUUGGAUUUCUAACCUGCACCCAUGACCUGGGUGGGGGACAAUGUCUGGCGGGGAGUUUGACUGGGGCGGUCGCCUCCGAAAGGGUAUCGGAGGCGCUCAAAGGUUCCCUCAGAAUGGUUGGAAACCAUUCGAAGAGUGCAAAGGCAGAAGGGUGCUUGACUGUGACACCGACGGGUGGAACAGGUACGAAAGUAGGACUUAGUGAUCCGGUGGUAUAAAGUGGGAUUGCCAUCGCUCAACGGAUAAAAGCUACCCUGGAUAACAGGCUUAUCACUCCCAAGAGUUCACAUCGACGGAGUGGUUUGGCACCUCGAUGUCGGCUCAUCGCAUCCUGGGGCUGUAGCAGGUCCCAAGGGUUGGGCUGUUCGCCCAUUAAAGCGGUACGCGAGCUGGGUUCAGAACGUCGUGAGACAGUUCGGUCCCUAUCCGGCGCAGGCGGAGGAUAUUUGAGAGGAGCUGUCCUUAGUACGAGAGGACCGGGAUGGACGGACCACUGGUGUAUCUGUUGGCUAUCAGAGCCAUGGCAGAGUAGCCAAGUCCGGCAGGGAUAAACGCUGAAGGCAUCUAAGCGUGAAGCCCCCCUCAAGAUGAGAUAUCCCUCAGAAAUGAGUAAGACCCCUUGAAGACUACGAGGUAGAUAGGAAUGAGGUGUAAGCACAGCAAUGUGUUCAGCUGACAUUUACUAAUCGGUCGAGGGCUUGAC